RNAcentral lists this transfer RNA (74 nucleotides) under Candidatus Methanodesulfokora washburnensis. Its description in RNAcentral is "tRNA-Asn". It matches the Rfam family "tRNA". Rfam says of the family: Transfer RNA (tRNA) molecules are approximately 80 nucleotides in length. Their secondary structure includes four short double-helical elements and three loops (D, anti-codon, and T loops). RNAcentral also lists the same sequence under 1 other name. The record is from RNAcentral. Lineage: Archaea; Thermoproteati; Thermoproteota; Candidatus Korarchaeia.
GGCGGGGUAGCUUAGCUCGGUAGAGCGACCGGCUGUUAACCGGUAGGUCGUGGGUUCAAAUCCCACCCCCGCCG